This 722-nucleotide ribosomal RNA is filed under the name uncultured Fusobacterium sp. RNAcentral describes it as "bacterial SSU rRNA". It matches the Rfam family "Bacterial small subunit ribosomal RNA", at positions 28 to 776 of the family's 1533-position model. Lineage: Bacteria; Fusobacteriati; Fusobacteriota; Fusobacteriia; Fusobacteriales; Fusobacteriaceae. The record is from RNAcentral.
GAUGAACGCUGACAGAAUGCUUAACACAUGCAAGUCAACUUGAACUUCGGUUUGGGUGGCGGACGGGUGAGUAACGCGUAAAGAACUUGCCUCACAGAUAGGGACAACAUUUGGAAACGAAUGCUAAUACCUGAUAUUAUGAUUUUAGGGCAUCCUAGAAUUAUGAAAGCUAUAUGCGCUGUGAGAGAGCUCUGCGUCCCAUUAGCUAGUUGGAGAGGUAACGGCUCACCAAGGCGAUGAUGGGUAGCCGGCCUGAGAGGGUGAUCGGCCACAAGGGGACUGAGACACGGCCCUUACUCCUACGGGAGGCAGCAGUGGGGAAUAUUGGACAAUGGACCAAGAGUCUGAUCCAGCAAUUCUGUGUGCACGAUGAAGUUUUUCGGAAUGUAAAGUGCUUUCAGUUGGGAAGAAAAAAAUGACGGUACCAACAGAAGAAGUGACGGCUAAAUACGUGCCAGCAGCCGCGGUAAUACGUAUGUCACAAGCGUUAUCCGGAUUUAUUGGGCGUAAAGCGCGUCUAGGUGGUUAUAUAAGUCUGAUGUGAAAAUGCAGGGCUCAACUCUGUAUUGCGUUGGAAACUGUGUAACUAGAGUACUGGAGAGGUAAGCGGAACUACAAGUGUAGAGGUGAAAUUCGUAGAUAUUUGUAGGAAUGCCGAUGGGGAAGCCAGCUUACUGGACAGAUACUGACGCUGAAGCGCGAAAGCGUGGGUAGCAAACAGG